Molecule: transfer RNA, 73 nt
Filed under: Stegodyphus mimosarum
Lineage: Eukaryota; Metazoa; Arthropoda; Arachnida; Araneae; Eresidae
Rfam family: tRNA
About the family: Transfer RNA (tRNA) molecules are approximately 80 nucleotides in length. Their secondary structure includes four short double-helical elements and three loops (D, anti-codon, and T loops).
Source: Rfam by way of RNAcentral
GCCUUCGUGAUGUAGUGGUCAGCCCGCUCGACGUGUAAUCGAGAGGUCCGUGGUUCGAGUCUCGGCGAAGGUA